This is a non-coding RNA of Xylariaceae sp. AK1471, 88 nucleotides long. Lineage: Eukaryota; Fungi; Ascomycota; Sordariomycetes; Xylariales; Xylariaceae. The record is from the annotation of a GenBank genome assembly.
GUUUGUGUACGAUAGUGGUCAGUACGGCUCGUUGUGGUGAUUCAGUAUCCGAGCAGACGCAGGUUCGAUUCGAUUCCUGCUACAGCCA